Molecule: long non-coding RNA, 285 nt
Organism: Gavia stellata (red-throated loon)
Lineage: Eukaryota; Metazoa; Chordata; Aves; Gaviiformes; Gaviidae
Exons: 3
Source: RefSeq, a predicted model, not a curated record
GGCUGUAACUAAGGAGUUCAGACAAACACAGGUAAAACUAAUCUAGUGAGAAAAAGGGUGCAUUUAAUUAUUUGUCUUAAAAUAUGUUGGGUAAAGUAACUGUGAUUUUCUUGUCAGAUUUCAGAUAUACAAUGCAGAAGAGGUUUCCAUCAAUUCUGGAAGUGUAUUACAAAUCCAAUGAGUGGUCUGGAAUUCACGGCAUAAGGGAGAAUGACCAAAUGACAUGGUUAAGCAGCAAGAACUGAACCCUCUGUGCCUGAACUGUUUCUUCCUUUUGAUGAUGCU